AUUGAACGCUGGCGGCAUGCCUUACACAUGCAAGUCGAACGGCAGCACGGGAGCAAUCCUGGUGGCGAGUGGCGAACGGGUGAGUAAUAUAUCGGAACGUGCCCAGUCGUGGGGAUAACGUAGCGAAAGCUACGCUAAUACCGCAUACGAUCUAUGGAUGAAAGCGGGGGAUCGCAAGACCUCGCGCGAUUGGAGCGGCCGAUAUCAGAUUAGGUAGUUGGUGAGGUAAAGGCUCACCAAGCCGACGAUCUGUAGCUGGUCUGAGAGGACGACCAGCCACACUGGGACUGAGACACGGCCCAGACUCCUACGGGAGGCAGCAGUGGGGAAUUUUGGACAAUGGGCGCAAGUCUGAUCCAGCCAUUCCGCGUGCAGGAUGAAGGCCCUCCGGGUUGCAAACUGCUUUUGUACGGAACGAAAGGUUUCUAUUAAUACUAGAGNUCAUGACGGUACCGUAAGAAUAAAGC
RNAcentral lists this ribosomal RNA (467 nucleotides) under uncultured bacterium. RNAcentral describes it as "bacterial SSU rRNA". It matches the Rfam family "Bacterial small subunit ribosomal RNA", at positions 30 to 492 of the family's 1533-position model. The record is from RNAcentral.